AGUGAACGCUGGCGGUAGGCCUAACACAUGCAGGUCGAACGGCAGCACAGUAAGAGCUUGCUCUUACGGGUGGCGAGUGGCGGACGGGUGAGGAAUACAUCGGAAUCUACUUUUUCGUGGGGGAUAACGUAGGGAAACUUACGCUAAUACCGCAUACGACCUACGGGUGAAAGCAGGGGAUCUUCGGACCUUGCGCGAUUGAAUGAGCCGAUGUCGGAUUAGCUAGUUGGCGGGGUAAAGGCCCGCCAAGGCGACGAUCCGUAGCUGGUCUGAGAGGAUGAUCAGCCACACUGGAACUGAGACACGGUCCAGACUCCUACGGGAGGCAGCAGUGGGGAAUAUUGGACAAUGGGCGCAAGCCUGAUCCAGCCAUACCGCGUGGGUGAAGAAGGCCUUCGGGUUGUAAAGCCCUUUUGUUGGGAAAGAAAAGCAGCAGGUUAAUACCCCGCUGUUCUGACGGUACCCAAAGAAUAAGCACCGGCUAACUUCGUG
This 492-nucleotide ribosomal RNA is filed under the name uncultured bacterium. Its description in RNAcentral is "partial 16S ribosomal RNA". It matches the Rfam family "Bacterial small subunit ribosomal RNA", at positions 29 to 507 of the family's 1533-position model. The record is from RNAcentral.